GACGAACGCUGGCGGCGUGCUUAACACAUGCCAGUCGAACGGAAAGGCCCUGCUUUCGUGUGGUGUCCGCGUGGCGCACGGGUGUGUUACCCGUGAGUCUCCUGCCCUUGACUUUGUGAUAACUUCAGGCAACCGCGGCUACCGCCUGCUAGGUGCUCCUGCUGCUUGGUGGGGGUUGGACCGCUUCGGCGGUUGGGGAUCGACUGCCGGCUUAACAGCUUGUUGGUGGGGUAGUUGCUUACCCAGCCUUCGACGGAUAGCCGGCACGAGAGGGUGAACGGCGUCAUGGGGACUGAGGGACGGCGCAGACGCCUACGGGAGACAGCGGUGGGGAAUAUUGCACAAUGGGCGGAAGCCUGAGGCAGCAAUGCCGCGUGCGGGAUGACGGCCUUCGGGUGGUAAACCGCUUUAACCUGUGACGAAGCGGGAGUGACGGUAAUGGGUAAAGAAGCACCGGCUAACUACGUG
RNAcentral lists this ribosomal RNA (468 nucleotides) under uncultured bacterium. RNAcentral's name for it is "partial 16S ribosomal RNA". It matches the Rfam family "Bacterial small subunit ribosomal RNA", at positions 28 to 507 of the family's 1533-position model. The record is from RNAcentral.